AGAGUUUGAUCAUGGCUCAGAUUGAACGCUGGCGGCAGGCCUAACACAUGCAAGUCGAACGGUAACAGGAAGCAGCUUGCUGCUUCGCUGACGAGUGGCGGACGGGUGAGUAAUGUCUGGGAAACUGCCUGAUGGAGGGGGAUAACUACUGGAAACGGUGGCUAAUACCGCAUAACGUCGCAAGACCAAAGAGGGGGACCUUCGGGCCUCUUGCCAUCAGAUGUGCCCAGAUGGGAUUAGCUUGUUGGUGAGGUAACGGCUCACCAAGGCGACGAUCCCUAGCUGGUCUGAGAGGAUGACCAGCCACACUGGAACUGAGACACGGUCCAGACUCCUACGGGAGGCAGCAGUGGGGAAUAUUGCACAAUGGGCGCAAGCCUGAUGCAGCCAUGCCGCGUGUAUGAAGAAGGCCUUCGGGUUGUAAAGUACUUUCAGCGGGGAGGAAGGUGUUGCGGUUAAUAACCGCAGCAAUUGACGUUACCCGCAGAAGAAGCACCGGCUAACUCCGUGCCAGCAGCCGCGGUAAUACGGAGGGUGCAAGCGUUAAUCGGAAUUACUGGGCGUAAAGCGCACGCAGGCGGUCUGUCAAGUCGGAUGUGAAAUCCCCGGGCUCAACCUGGGAACUGCAUUCGAAACUGGCAGGCUUGAGUCUUGUAGAGGGGGGUAGAAUUCCAGGUGUAGCGGUGAAAUGCGUAGAGAUCUGGAGGAAUACCGGUGGCGAAGGCGGCCCCCUGGACAAAGACUGACGCUCAGGUGCGAAAGCGUGGGGAGCAAACAGGAUUAGAUACCCUGGUAGUCCACGCCGUAAACGAUGUCUACUUGGAGGUUGUGCCCUUGAGGCGUGGCUUCCGGAGCUAACGCGUUAAGUAGACCGCCUGGGGAGUACGGCCGCAAGGUUAAAACUCAAAUGAAUUGACGGGGGCCCGCACAAGCGGUGGAGCAUGUGGUUUAAUUCGAUGCAACGCGAAGAACCUUACCUGGUCUUGACAUCCACGGAAGGUCUCAGAGAUGAGACUGUGCCUUCGGGAACCGUGAGACAGGUGCUGCAUGGCUGUCGUCAGCUCGUGUUGUGAAAUGUUGGGUUAAGUCCCGCAACGAGCGCAACCCUUAUCCUUUGUUGCCAGCGGUUAGGCCGGGAACUCAAAGGAGACUGCCAGUGAUAAACUGGAGGAAGGUGGGGAUGACGUCAAGUCAUCAUGGCCCUUACGACCAGGGCUACACCACGUGCUACAAUGGCGCAUACAAAGAGAAGCGACCUCGCGAGAGCAAGCGGACCUCAUAAAGUGCGUCGUAGUCCGGAUUGGAGUCUGCAACUCGACUCCAUGAAGUCGGAAUCGCUAGUAAUCGUGGAUCAGAAUGCCACGGUGAAUACGUUCCCGGGCCUUGUACACACCGCCCGUCACACCAUGGGAGUGGGUUGCAAAAGAAGUAGGUAGCUUAACCUUCGGGAGGGCGCUUACCACUUUGUGAUUCAUGACUGGGGUGAAGUCGUAACAAGGUAACCGUAGGGGAACCUGCGGUUGGAUCACCU
This 1531-nucleotide ribosomal RNA is filed under the name Salmonella enterica subsp. salamae. RNAcentral describes it as "bacterial SSU rRNA". It matches the Rfam family "Bacterial small subunit ribosomal RNA". The record is from RNAcentral. Lineage: Bacteria; Pseudomonadati; Pseudomonadota; Gammaproteobacteria; Enterobacterales; Enterobacteriaceae.